GAUGAACGCUGGCGGCGUGCUUAACACAUGCAAGUCGAACGAAGCAUUUAAGACGGAUUCUUUCGGGAUGAAGACUUUUAUGACUGAGUGGCGGACGGGUGAGUAACGCGUGGGUAACCUGCCUCACACAAGGGGAUAGCAGUUGGAAACGGCUGAUAAUACCGCAUAAGCGCACAGUACCGCAUGGUACAGUGCGAAAAAACUCCGGUGGUGUGAGAUGGACCCGCGUCUGAUUAGCUAGUGGUGAGGUAACGGCCCCACCAAGGCGACGAUCAGUAGCCGGCCUGAGAGGGUGAACGGCCACAUUGGGGCUGAGACACGGCCCAAAACUCCCUAACGGGGAGGCAGCAGUGGGGAAUAUUGGCACAAUGGGGGAAACCCUGAUGCAGCGACGCGCGUGAGUGAGGAGUA
RNAcentral lists this ribosomal RNA (411 nucleotides) under uncultured bacterium. RNAcentral's name for it is "bacterial SSU rRNA". It matches the Rfam family "Bacterial small subunit ribosomal RNA", at positions 28 to 414 of the family's 1533-position model. The record is from RNAcentral.